CCUACGGGAGGCAGCAGUGGGGAAUAUUGGACAGUGGGCGCAAGCCUGAUCCAGCCAUGCCGCGUGAGUGAUGAAGGCCUUAGGGUUGUAAAGCACUUUAAGCGAGGAGGAGGCUACUUUAGAUAAUACCUAGAGAUAGUGGACGUUACUCGCAGAAUAAGCACCGGCUAACUCUGUGCCAGCAGCCGCGGUAAU
RNAcentral lists this ribosomal RNA (195 nucleotides) under uncultured bacterium. RNAcentral's name for it is "partial 16S ribosomal RNA". It matches the Rfam family "Bacterial small subunit ribosomal RNA", at positions 338 to 524 of the family's 1533-position model. The record is from RNAcentral.